RNAcentral lists this ribosomal RNA (308 nucleotides) under uncultured archaeon. Its description in RNAcentral is "bacterial SSU rRNA". It matches the Rfam family "Archaeal small subunit ribosomal RNA", at positions 526 to 834 of the family's 1478-position model. The record is from RNAcentral.
CGGAUUGGUAAAUUCUCUGUGAAAUCUCUCAGCUUAACUGAGAGGAGUGCAGGGAACACUGCCUUUCUUGAGACCGGGAGGGGUCAAAGGUAUUCUGAAGGGAGCGGUAAAAUGUGAUAAUCUUCGGAGGACCACCAAUGGCGAAAGCAUUUGACCAGAACGGAUCUGACGGUGAGGGAUGAAGGCCAGGGGAGCAAAACGGAUUAGAUACCCGAGUAGUCCUGGCUGUAAACUCUGCGUGCAAGGUGUUGCGUAUUCUCGUGGAUGCGCAGUAUCGAAGAGAAGUCGUUAAGCACGCCGCCUGGGAA